AGCAGCCGCGGUAAUUCCAGCUCCAAUAGCGUAUAUUAAAGUUGUUGCAGUUAAAAAGCUCGUAGUUGAACUUCGGGGUUUACCCAUUGGUCAGGCUUAAUUGUCUGUACUGGUGAGAUAAAUCUCUACCUUCUGAGGAACUUUCAUGUCAUUAAUUUGGUGUGAUUGGAAAUCAGGACUGUUACUUUGAAAAAAUUAGAGUGUUUAAAGCAGGCUAACGUCUGAAUACAUUAGCAUGGAAUAAUGAAAUAGGACGGACUGAUUCUAUUUCGUUGGUUUCUAGGAUCACCGUAAUGAUUAAUAGGGAUAGUUGGG
This 315-nucleotide ribosomal RNA is filed under the name uncultured Glomeromycotina. RNAcentral describes it as "SSU rRNA". It matches the Rfam family "Eukaryotic small subunit ribosomal RNA", at positions 569 to 886 of the family's 1831-position model. The record is from RNAcentral. Lineage: Eukaryota; Fungi; Glomeromycota.